AACGUAGGAGACAAACGUUAUCCGGAGUUACUGGGCGUAAAGGGCGUGUAGGCGGUUUGUUAAGUCUGGCGUGAAAGCUCUCGGCUAAACCGGGAGAGGUCGUUGGAUACUGGCAAACUUGAGGACGGUAGAGGCGUGUGGAAUUCCGGGUGUAGUGGUGAAAUGCGUAGAGAUCCGGAGGAACACCAGUGGCGAAGGCGGGUUGCUGGGCUGACACUGACGCUGAGGCGCGAAAGCUAGGGGAGCGAACGGG
Molecule: ribosomal RNA, 253 nt
Filed under: uncultured bacterium
Lineage: Bacteria
Description: partial 16S ribosomal RNA
Rfam family: Bacterial small subunit ribosomal RNA
Source: RNAcentral